GAAGGGGGCUAGCGUUGUUCGGAUUUACUGGGCGUAAAGCGCACGUAGGCGGAUCGUUAAGUCGGGGGUGAGAUCCUGGAGCUCAACUCCAGAACUGCCUUCGAUACUGGCGAUCUUGAGUCCGGAAGAGGUGAGUGGAACUCCUAGUGUAGAGGUGGAAUUCGUAGAUAUUAGGAAGAACACCAGUGGCGAAGGCGGCUCACUGGUCCGGUACUGACGCUGAGGUGCGAAGGCGUGGGGAGCAAACAGGAUUAGAUACCCUGGUAGUCCACGCCGUAAACUAUGAGAGCUAGCCGUUGGAGGGUUUACCCUUCAGUGGCGCASSUAACGCAUUAAGCUCUCCGCCUGGGGAGUACGGUCGCAAGAUUA
Molecule: ribosomal RNA, 369 nt
Filed under: uncultured bacterium
Lineage: Bacteria
Description: bacterial SSU rRNA
Rfam family: Bacterial small subunit ribosomal RNA
Source: RNAcentral